UCCAAAUUUUCAUGUCAAUGUUAAUCACAAUCUGAAUCCUUUUCUCGGAUAAGCUAGGGCUGAUUUUGAUUGAAAUCUGAAUCGCGCUCUAAUCAUCAGGGUUUAAAGCCUUAUUCAAAUUGAAUAUAUGUUUGAUGAAGUG
Molecule: non-coding RNA, 142 nt
Organism: Arachis ipaensis
Lineage: Eukaryota; Viridiplantae; Streptophyta; Magnoliopsida; Fabales; Fabaceae
Source: RefSeq, a predicted model, not a curated record